CCUACGGGUGGCAGCAGUGGGGAAUAUUGCACAAUGGGGGAAACCCUGCUGCAGCGACGCCGCGUGAGUGAAGAAGUAUUUCGGUACGUAAAGCUCUAUCAGCAGGGAAGCAAAUGACGGUACCUGACUAAGAAGCCCCGGCUAACUACGUGCCAGCAGCCGCGGUAAUACGUAGGGGGCAAGCGUUAUCCGGAUUUACUGGGUGUAAAGGGAGCGUAGACGGCAGCGCAAGUCUGGAGGGAAAUCCCAUGGCUGAACCAUGGAACUGCUUGUGAAACUGUGCAGCUGGAGUGCAGGAGAGGUAGGCGGAAGUCCUGGUGUAGCGAUGAAAUGCGUAGAGAUUAGGAGGAACACCAGUGGCGAAGGCGGCUUACUGGACUGUAACUGACGUUGAGGCUCGAAAGCGUGGGGAGCAAACAGGAUUAGAUACCCUUGUAGUC
This 440-nucleotide ribosomal RNA is filed under the name uncultured bacterium. Its description in RNAcentral is "partial 16S ribosomal RNA". It matches the Rfam family "Bacterial small subunit ribosomal RNA", at positions 338 to 795 of the family's 1533-position model. The record is from RNAcentral.